This 463-nucleotide ribosomal RNA is filed under the name Vreelandella stevensii. Its description in RNAcentral is "partial 16S ribosomal RNA". It matches the Rfam family "Bacterial small subunit ribosomal RNA", at positions 338 to 795 of the family's 1533-position model. Lineage: Bacteria; Pseudomonadati; Pseudomonadota; Gammaproteobacteria; Oceanospirillales; Halomonadaceae. The record is from RNAcentral.
CCUACGGGGGGCUGCAGUGGGGAAUAUUGGACAAUGGGGGGAACCCUGAUCCAGCCAUGCCGCGUGUGUGAAGAAGGCCCUCGGGUUGUAAAGCACUUUCAGUGAGGAAGAACGCCUGGUGGUUAAUACCCAUCAGGAAAGACAUCACUCACAGAAGAAGCACCGGCUAACUCCGUGCCAGCAGCCGCGGUAAUACGGAGGGUGCGAGCGUUAAUCGGAAUUACUGGGCGUAAAGCGCGCGUAGGUGGCUUGAAGCCGGUUGUGAAAGCCCCGGGCUCAACCUGGGAACGGCAUCCGGAACUGUCAAGCUAGAGUGCAGGAGAGGAAGGUAGAAUUCCCGGUGUAGCGGUGAAAUGCGUAGAGAUCGGGAGGAAUACCAGUGGCGAAGGCGGCCUUCUGGACUGACACUGACACUGAGGUGCGAAAGCGUGGGUAGCAAACAGGAUUAGAUACCCCUGUAGUC